Molecule: transfer RNA, 74 nt
Filed under: Roseburia inulinivorans
Lineage: Bacteria; Bacillati; Bacillota; Clostridia; Lachnospirales; Lachnospiraceae
Description: tRNA-Asp
Rfam family: tRNA
About the family: Transfer RNA (tRNA) molecules are approximately 80 nucleotides in length. Their secondary structure includes four short double-helical elements and three loops (D, anti-codon, and T loops).
Source: RNAcentral
AGCCUAAUGGCUCAGUUGGUUAGAGCGCCGCCCUGUCACGGCGGAGGUCGCGGGUUCGAGUCCCGCUUGGGUCG